GUGGGGAAUAUUGCACAAUGGGCGAAAGCCUGAUGCAGCAACGCCGCGUGAAGGAUGAAGGCCUUUGGGUCGUAAACUUCUGUCCUUGGGGAAGAAAAAAAUGACGGUACCCCUGGAGGAAGUCCCGGCUAACUACGUGCCAGCAGCCGCGGUAAUACGUAGGGGGCGAGCGUUAUCCGGAAUUAUUGGGCGUAAAGAGUACGUAGGUGGUUUUUUAAGCGCAGGGUUUAAGGCGAUGGCUCAACUGUCGUUCGCCCUGUGAACUGGAAGACUUGAGUACAGGAGAGGAAAGCGGAAUUCCUAGUGUAGCGGUGAAAUGCAUAGAUAUUAGGAGGAACACCAGUGGCGAAGGCGGCUUUCUGGACUGUAACUGACACUGAGGUACGAAAGCGUGGGGAGCAAACAGGAUUAGAAACCCUUGUAGUCC
Molecule: ribosomal RNA, 427 nt
Filed under: uncultured bacterium
Lineage: Bacteria
Description: partial 16S ribosomal RNA
Rfam family: Bacterial small subunit ribosomal RNA
Source: RNAcentral